GAGGAUUUAGCUUAAUAAAAGUGAUUGAUUUGCAUUCAAUUGAUAUAGGAAUAUAGUCUUGUAAUCCUUA
Molecule: transfer RNA, 70 nt
Filed under: Erinaceus amurensis (Amur hedgehog)
Lineage: Eukaryota; Metazoa; Chordata; Mammalia; Eulipotyphla; Erinaceidae
Description: tRNA-Ala
Rfam family: tRNA
About the family: Transfer RNA (tRNA) molecules are approximately 80 nucleotides in length. Their secondary structure includes four short double-helical elements and three loops (D, anti-codon, and T loops).
Source: RNAcentral